UGAUGUUUUUGGAGACAAGUACGCUGAUGAGAGAAUGUGGAAGAGGCUUUUGUACAGUGUGCAAGAAAAAUACUUAACAAAAUUGAAUAAGUGGGCCCAGUGAGCUGCAGGAGGAUGCAGGGACUGCAGGGCUGUCACAGGCACUGACGGAGCAGGGUUUCCCUCCUGGUGGUGCUGACCUGUCUGACUGCCGAGAGCCGAUCAGAAGCGCCACCUCCCUGUCUGCCGAGCCUGAGGUCCAGUCUGUUCUGGAUGGAGCAGCAGGUGCUUGUGGGGACACUGGAGACCUGUCAUCACCAGGGCGGACAGAGUCCCUGGUCUGCUGAAGAUCAUCUUCCUACUGAAGAGAUUAUAGAUAAUCACCUAAUAUACUUCUUUUGUGAUUCUGUUACAUAUAAUUUAUCCUUUGUGUUUCUUUGUCACCUGAGACCAGUCAUUGAUUGAAAACUGAGUAUAAAUAAUAGAACUGGAUCAGGCAUAGUGGAUCCAGCCUGUAAUUUCAGCACUUUGGGAGGUCUAGGAGAUAGAUCACUUGAGGCCAAGAGUUCAAGACCAGCCUGGGCAACAUAAUACCACAGCAUUUCUACAAAUAAUAUUAACAAUAAUAAUAAUAAAUGAGCUCUGGGUACUGGUGGGCACCCGUUGUCAUAGCUACUCAGGAAGCUGAUGCAGGAGGAUCCCUUGAGCCCAGGAGUCUGGGGCUGCCGUGAGCUGUGUUCAUGGCCCUGCACGCCAGCCUGGACGACACAGCAAGACCCUCUUCUUAAAGAACAAAAUAUAGGGCUAAGAACUAUAGAACUGUGAUAAAAGAUAUGUCCCAGGAUGGAGACAUCUGAGAUGUUUUAACAGUGGAAAUAGCCAUGUUGGAUCCCAAAUCCCAGAAACAGAGAUGUGAGUUCCUGGUGGUAGAGCUCGGUGCUUUGGACAGGGAAGCUGAGGCCCAGGCUUGUGAGGUGGCCCUGCUGCCAGCAAGGGGUGAGGGAGCUGGGGAGAAUCUCUUAGUCCUUCUGGGCCUCAGUUUCCCCAUCAGGAAGUGAAGGUUCCAACUGCACCUCUCCCAGGGACCUUCCUGCAGGGUUUGCUCUGAGUCUCUGUGGGCAGAGCUGUGGUAAAGGUGCCCUGCGACCCGCAGUGGAGACCUGACCUUGGUCCCUACUGUGACUAUCUCCUGCAGGGCCCUGAGCUGAGGCCACACCCUGAGAACUCAGAACUGAGGGAGCAGAUGGAGGAAGGGGAGCGGGCAGGUUGGGGGAUGAGAAUGACCGAAACAAGGACAUGGGAACGGUGGUGCAGGUGGACACACACGGGUUGAGAAAGGUCUGGUGGCAGCCCAGGGAACGGGCGGAGAGGUCACAGACACGUCAUCCCCAUGACGCAGUGAACAGGAAGGGAAUUCCUGAGAGCAGUCCCGGUGUCACCAGACCCCCACAGGGGACUGUCCCUGAGUUCUGAUACUGUAGGGCAGGGGUCUCUCUACAGAAGGAGACGUGCAGCUCCCUGGCAGGAAGGAGGGUGUCUCUCACAGAACACUCAGGGAAGGAGUGUAGACGGGGUGCUGGAGUCAGAAACCACUUUUAUUCAGUCACUGACGACCACUGCGGGGAGCCCCCUGGUGCCGGGCCUGAGUGGGAACCGUGAACACGGAGUUGGUGAAACCGUGUCCCAGCAUCCACGGAGCUCUCAGGCCGCCAGGCCGUGCAUCGUGGCAAGUGUGGUCACGGUGAGGGAGGGUCCCAUGGGGUGUGGGGGUGACCUCAGUGGCUGUCCUGGUCCCCCUUCUGUUUG
This is a long non-coding RNA of Lemur catta (Ring-tailed lemur), 1785 nucleotides long. RefSeq lists it as uncharacterized. The transcript is spliced from 4 exons. Lineage: Eukaryota; Metazoa; Chordata; Mammalia; Primates; Lemuridae. The record is from RefSeq and is a predicted model, not a curated record.